This 541-nucleotide ribosomal RNA is filed under the name Bacillus sp. EhH-5. Its description in RNAcentral is "bacterial SSU rRNA". It matches the Rfam family "Bacterial small subunit ribosomal RNA", at positions 51 to 577 of the family's 1533-position model. Lineage: Bacteria; Bacillati; Bacillota; Bacilli; Caryophanales; Bacillaceae. The record is from RNAcentral.
AUACAUGCAGUCGAGCGAUCGAUGGGAGCUUGCUCCCUGAGAUUAGCGGCGGACGGGUGAGUAACACGUGGGCAACCUGCCUAUAAGACUGGGAUAACUUCGGGAAACCGGAGCUAAUACCGGAUACGUUCUUUUCUCGCAUGAGAGAAGAUGGAAAGACGGUUUACGCUGUCACUUAUAGAUGGGCCCGCGGCGCAUUAGCUAGUUGGUGAGGUAAUGGCUCACCAAGGCGACGAUGCGUAGCCGACCUGAGAGGGUGAUCGGCCACACUGGGACUGAGACACGGCCCAGACUCCUACGGGAGGCAGCAGUAGGGAAUCUUCCGCAAUGGACGAAAGUCUGACGGAGCAACGCCGCGUGAACGAAGAAGGCCUUCGGGUCGUAAAGUUCUGUUGUUAGGGAAGAACAAGUACCAGAGUAACUGCUGGUACCUUGACGGUACCUAACCAGAAAGCCACGGCUAACUACGUGCCAGCAGCCGCGGUAAUACGUAGGUGGCAAGCGUUGUCCGGAAUUAUUGGGCGUAAAGCGCGCGCAGGUG